CACACGGAGAAACGCUGUCAGAA
Molecule: non-coding RNA, 23 nt
Filed under: Cricetulus griseus (Chinese hamster)
Lineage: Eukaryota; Metazoa; Chordata; Mammalia; Rodentia; Cricetidae
Source: RNAcentral